GACGAACGCUGGCGGCGUGCUUAACACAUGCAAGUCGAACGAAGAGCGAUGGAAGCUUGCUUCUAUCAAUCUUAGUGGCGAACGGGUGAGUAACGCGUAAUCAACCUGCCCUUCAGAGGGGGACAACAGUUGGAAACGACUGCUAAUACCGCAUACGAUCUGACCUCGGCAUCGAGGAUAGAUGAAAGGUGGCCUCUAUUUAUAAGCUAUCACUGAAGGAGGGGAUUGCGUCUGAUUAGCUAGUUGGAGGGGUAACGGCCCACCAAGGCGAUGAUCAGUAGCCGGUCUGAGAGGAUGAACGGCCACAUUGGGACUGAGACACGGCCCAGACUCCUACGGGAGGCAGCAGUGGGGAAUCUUCCGCAAUGGACGAAAGUCUGACGGAGCAACGCCGCGUGAGUGAUGACGGCCUUCGGGUUGUAAAGCUCUGUUAAUCGGGACGAAAGGCCUUCUUGCGAAUAGUUAGAAGGAGAGACGGUACCG
RNAcentral lists this ribosomal RNA (483 nucleotides) under Veillonella dispar. RNAcentral's name for it is "bacterial SSU rRNA". It matches the Rfam family "Bacterial small subunit ribosomal RNA", at positions 28 to 480 of the family's 1533-position model. Lineage: Bacteria; Bacillati; Bacillota; Negativicutes; Veillonellales; Veillonellaceae. The record is from RNAcentral.